RNAcentral lists this long non-coding RNA (486 nucleotides) under Setaria viridis. Its description in RNAcentral is "long non-coding RNA (SVIR_LNC002074)". Lineage: Eukaryota; Viridiplantae; Streptophyta; Magnoliopsida; Poales; Poaceae. The record is from RNAcentral.
GUAACUGUAAGAGCACGAAUAGAUGGACCAGUAGAGAACCCACGAGGAGGCUUUGGCAGCGUUCUUAUGCACUCUGCUAAGCUGGGCUCGACAUUCGGCUCAUUCAAACGAGCCCUAAUGUUUAGUAAAUCUAACUUCUGUGUCCGGACAGGUCCAUCUAUAUUUCUUGAAUAUCAACUUUUCUUGCUUAUUAAUUAGUUACACUUAGCACUUGGCUGUAGCUGAAAUGGCUUCGGCAAUGACUUCUCCAGUAAAGUAGCUUUUUUAACUUGUCUGUUUUAAACAGCUUCUCCUAAUUGUUUAAAAUAGAUAAAAUGUACCCAUAAUACCCUUAUCUUUUUUUCUUUUCUCUUUUCCCCCUCUUUUCUUCCUAUUUCUUUUCUUUCUUCCUAUUUUCUUCCUAUUUCUUUUCUUUCUUCCUAUUUCUCUUUCCUUCCUCCUUUUACCUCACACGUUCUCUUUCUUCCUCCUUAUCCAUUCCCGUCC